Long non-coding RNA from Macaca fascicularis (crab-eating macaque), 1808 nucleotides. The record is from Ensembl. Lineage: Eukaryota; Metazoa; Chordata; Mammalia; Primates; Cercopithecidae.
GAAGAUACAGAAUAUUGGGAAGUUACACAAAAUAGGAAGCUCCAUACUGGGGGGUAGCAAUCUGGUGCUGGACAGUAGCACAGACUAGCUAACUGUGAUCUCAUAGCCUACAGAAAAAGGCAGCAUGCCCAGGACCAAUGGAGGGCAUCCAGGAAUCAGAGACUGACCUUUGUGUGUAACUGCAGGACCUUGGCAACUACCCUCAGUUCAAUGUGGCCUCUAUCCCAACACCUCCAGGGCUCCCUGUAAAACAGGGCUGGCAUGCAUUUGUUAUGCCACUGGAGAUCCUCAGAAGCAAACAUACUGAAACAAGAGAGAUGCUGGGAAUGGGAGAGAAGCAGUACAAGUUUUAUCAUCAAACCCAUAACCCCAUUUGCCCCAGCCCAUAUCCUGAGCCCCUGAAGCGCACAGCCCCCCAGCAAUGUGGUUUCUGACAAUGCAGAGAGGUCAUCUACGGAGGAGGGUAACUUCAUAGAGAAAAAAAUAUUUCGUUGAGUUUUUGUUUUUCUUUUGAGACAGGGUCUCCCUACAUUGCCCAGGAAGUGAUCCACCUACCUCAGCCUCCCAAUGUGUUGGGAUUAUAGGCAUGAGCCACCAUGCCCAGCCUGAUAUUUUUUUAGUCUUUUAUUUUAUCCAUUUUUUGUUUUAAGAGACAGGACUCACUAUGUUGCCUAGAAUGGCCUCAAACUCCCGGACAGAAGUGGUCCUCCCCCGGGUGGAUCAUGAGGUCAAGAGAUCGAGACCAUCCUGGCCAACAUGGUGAAACCCUGUCUCUACUAAAACUACAAAAAUUAGCCGGGCGUGGUGGCACGUGCCUGUAACCCCAGCUACUCAGAAGGCUGAGGCAGGAGAAUCGCCUGAACCCGGGAGGUGGAGGUUGCGGUUGUGGUGAGCCGAGAUCGGACCACUGCACUCCAGCUUGGCGACACAGGAAGACUCUGUCUCAAAAAAAAAAAAAAAAAAAAAAAAGAAAGUGGUCCUCCCCCUCAGCCUCCCAAGCAGCUGGCAAUACAGGCACAUGCCACCAUUGCCUGACAUUCCUGGUGCCCGGGGGUAGCAGAGCUGAUGCAGAGAGGGUGGCUGGAGCAGGAGUUGCUAUCCUCCAUGGCCCCUUUGCUGGUGCUCAAUCAGGAUGAGUUUGCAGCUGUCAAAGGCAUAAAAAUCAGGCCCAAACAGAAACCUACUCCAGGGCAAUUCUCAGGACUGCCAACAGAUGGUAAUGUUACUCUAGAGAAUAGCAGUUUCUCACCAAAAACCAAACCCAACACCAAGAUCUUUCCAAGCUUUUCCAAACCUGUAACAAAAGUUUUUAAGGAUUGGAAAUAAUCUGAAAGGGGAUUUCUGAAAUGAUCUGUGCUCUCAUAUACUGUUGGUAGAAAAGUAAAUUCGCAUAUCCCCUUAGGAGGGCAAUUUGACAAUAAUUAUCAAAACAUAAAAUGCACAUUCCCUAAGAGUCAGCAAUUCCAUUUCUAGCCACUCUCACAUAAGAAAUAAUAGGUUUAAGGCCAGGCGCGGUGGCUCAAGCCUGUAAUUCCAGCAUUUUGGGAGGCCGAGACGGGCGGAUCACGAGGUCAGGAGAUCGAGACCAUCCUGGCUAACACGGUGAAACCCCAUCUCUACUAAAAAAAAUACAAAAAAAUAGCCAGGCGAGGUGGCGGGCGCCUGUAGUCCCAGCUACUCGGGAGGCUGAGGCAGGAGAAUGGCGUAAAACCUGGGAGGCGGAGCUUGUAGAGAGCUGAGAUCCGGCCACUGCACUCCAGUCUGGGCGACAGAGCGAGACUCUGUCUCAAAAAAAAAAAAAAAAAAAA